AUACGUAGGUGGCAAGCGUUAUCCGGAAUUAUUGGGCGUAAAGAGGGAGCAGGCGGCAGCAAGGGUCUGUGGUGAAAGCCUGAAGCUUAACUUCAGUAAGCCAUAGAAACCAGGCAGCUAGAGUGCAGGAGAGGAUCGUGGAAUUCCAUGUGUAGCGGUGAAAUGCGUAGAUAUAUGGAGGAACACCAGUGGCGAAGGCGACGAUCUGGCCUGCAACUGACGCUCAGUCCCGAAAGCGUGGGGAGCAAAGAGGAUUAGAUACCCUAGUAGUCCACGCCGUAAACGAUGAGUACUAAGUGUUGGAUGUCAAAGUUCAGUGCUGCAGUUAACGCAAUAAGUACUCCGCCUGAGUAGUACGUUCGCAAGAAUGAAACUCAAAGGAAUUGACGGGG
This 392-nucleotide ribosomal RNA is filed under the name uncultured bacterium. RNAcentral describes it as "partial 16S ribosomal RNA". It matches the Rfam family "Bacterial small subunit ribosomal RNA", at positions 523 to 918 of the family's 1533-position model. The record is from RNAcentral.